RNAcentral lists this non-coding RNA (21 nucleotides) under Rattus norvegicus (Norway rat). Lineage: Eukaryota; Metazoa; Chordata; Mammalia; Rodentia; Muridae. The record is from RNAcentral.
UCAAAAGUCUUGCUAAAGGAA